GUUUGAUGUUCUAACGUGGAUCCGUAAUCCGGGUUGCGGACAGUGUCUGGUGGGUAGUUUGACUGGGGCGGUCUCCUCCUAAAGAGUAACGGAGGAGCACGAAGGUUGGCUAAUCCUGGUCGGACAUCAGGAGGUUAGUGCAAUGGCAUAAGCCAGCUUGACUGCGAGCGUGACGGCGCGAGCAGGUGCGAAAGCAGGUCAUAGUGAUCCGGUGGUUCUGAAUGGAAGGGCCAUCGCUCAACGGAUAAAAGGUACUCCGGGGAUAACAGGCUGAUACCGCCCAAGAGUUCAUAUCGACGGCGGUGUUUGGCACCUCGAUGUCGGCUCAUCACAUCCUGGGGCUGAAGUAGGUCCCAAGGGUAUGGCUGUUCGCCAUUUAAAGUGGUACGCGAGCUGGGUUUAGAACGUCGUGAGACAGUUCGGUCCCUAUCUGCCGUGGGCGCUGGAGAACUGAGGGGGGCUGCUCCUAGUACGAGAGGACCGGAGUGGACGCAUCACUGGUGUUCGGGUUGUCAUGCCAAUGGCACUGCCCGGUAGCUAAAUGCGGAAGAGAUAAGUGCUGAAAGCAUCUAAGCACGAAACUUGCCCCGAGAUGAGUUCUCCCUGAGACUUAGAGUCUCCUGAAGGAACGUUGAAGACGACGACGUUGAUAGGCCGGGUGUGUAAGCGCAGCGAUGCGUUGAGCUAACCGGUACUAAUGAACCGUGAGGCUUAACCUU
RNAcentral lists this ribosomal RNA (719 nucleotides) under Salmonella enterica subsp. enterica serovar Infantis. Its description in RNAcentral is "partial 23S ribosomal RNA". It matches the Rfam family "Bacterial large subunit ribosomal RNA", at positions 2212 to 2925 of the family's 2925-position model. The record is from RNAcentral. Lineage: Bacteria; Pseudomonadati; Pseudomonadota; Gammaproteobacteria; Enterobacterales; Enterobacteriaceae. RNAcentral also lists the same sequence under 1 other name.